This 907-nucleotide ribosomal RNA is filed under the name Graphis cf. gracilescens 33942B. Its description in RNAcentral is "eukaryotic LSU rRNA". It matches the Rfam family "Eukaryotic large subunit ribosomal RNA", at positions 41 to 972 of the family's 3401-position model. The record is from RNAcentral. Lineage: Eukaryota; Fungi; Ascomycota; Lecanoromycetes; Ostropales; Graphidaceae.
UAUCAAUAAGCGGAGGAAAAGAAACCAACAGGGAUUGCCCUAGUAACGGCGAGUGAAGCGGCAACAGCUCAAAUUUGAAAUCUGGCCUUUGGCCCGAAUUGUAAUUUGGAGAAGGUGCUUCGGAAGAGAUGAUGGUCCAAGUCCCUUGGAACAGGGCGUCACAGAGGGUGAGAAUCCCGUACGUGACCAAUUGUCGAUUCCAUGUGAAGCCCUUUCGACGAGUCGAGUUGUUUGGGAAUGCAGCUCUAAAUGGGUGGUAAAUUUCAUCUAAAGCUAAAUACCUGCCAGAGACCGAUAGCGCACAAGUAGAGUGAUCGAAAGAUGAAAAGCACUUUGAAAAGAGAGUCAAACAGUACGUGAAAUUGUUGAAAGGGAAGCGUUCGCAAUCAGACUCGUUUGCAGAAGCUCAGCCUCUCCACGGAGUGGUGUAUUCUUCUGUCAACGGGCCAGCAUCAGUUUCGGCGGUUGGAUAAAGACUUUGGGAACGUAGCUCUCCUCGGAGAGUGUUAUAGCCUGGAGUGCAAUGCAGCCAGCUGAGACUGAGGUCCGCGCUUUUGCUAGGAUGCUGGCGUAAUGGUUGCUAGCGACCCGUCUUGAAACACGGACCAAGGAGUCGACCAAUGACGCGAGUGUUUGGGUGUCAAACUCAUGCGCGUAAUGAAAGUGAACGUAGGUGGGAGCCUUCGGGCGCACCAUCGACCGAUCCUGAUGUCUUCGGAUGGAUUUGAGUAUGAGCAUUGUUGGUCGGACCCGAAAGAUGGUGAACUAUGCGCGGAUAGGGUGAAGCCAGAGGAAACUCUGGUGGAGGCUCGCAGCGGUUCUGACGUGCAAAUCGAUCGUCAAAUCUACGCAUAGGGGCGAAAGACUAAUCGAACCGUCUAGUAGCUGGUUCCUGCCGAAGUUUCCU